GAUGAAGAACGUAGUGAAAUGCGAUAAGUAAUGUGAAUUGCAGAAUUCAGUGAAUCAUCGAAUCUUUGAACGCACAUUGCGCCCGUUAGUAUUCUAGUGGGCAUGCCUGUUCGAGCGUCAUUAAGUCCACUUAAGCCCUGCUUAGUGUUGGGAGACUGCUCCAGCGGUGCUACCCUGUAGCUACCCUGCAGCUCCUCAAAGACAGCGGCGGAGUUGUGGUAUCCUCUGAGCUUAGUAACUUGUUCUAGCUUUCGAGUACACCACUUCCCCUGCCGUAAAACCCUUAAUUUUUAAUGGUUGACCUCGGAUCAGGUAGGAAUACCCGCUGAACUUAAGCAUAUCAAUAAGCGGAGGA
Molecule: unclassified non-coding RNA, 355 nt
Filed under: soil metagenome
Description: partial contains 5.8S ribosomal RNA, internal transcribed spacer 2, and large subunit ribosomal RNA
Rfam family: 5.8S ribosomal RNA (bases 1-120)
Source: RNAcentral